UAUCUGACCAUGCUAUACAAGUUGGCAGUGAGAAUAUUUUAGUGAUUCAGAUGCAGCCAGAAAUCUCUUCAGAAGGACAUCUUCCUCUCCUGCUCGUUCUCCGUUCAUGCACUUGAGGAGAAGUACAUGGUUCCUGGGUACAGCUGACAAACACCUACAAGCACCCAUGAACAUGAACAGGGAGAAGAUGAUCUGCAGCAUCCUGCUGCUCAUCAUCCUGACCUCCUGUGUCUCUGGAACAUUUGUAGUGAAAGUGACCCAGACCUCCUAUCAGGCAGAGGAGAACCACCACAUCACAC
Molecule: long non-coding RNA, 299 nt
Organism: Perca fluviatilis (European perch)
Lineage: Eukaryota; Metazoa; Chordata; Actinopteri; Perciformes; Percidae
Exons: 3
Source: RefSeq, a predicted model, not a curated record